UACGGAGGGUGCAAGCGUUAUCCGGAUUUACUGGGUUUAAAGGGUGCGUAGGCGGGCCUGUAAGUCAGUGGUGAAAUCUUCCCGCUUAACGGGAAAACUGCCAUUGAUACUAUAGGUCUUGAAUUCAGUUGAGGUGGGCGGAAUGUGUCGUGUAGCGGUGAAAUGCUUAGAUAUGACACAGAACACCGAUUGCGAAGGCAGCUCGCUAAACUGACAUUGACGCUGAGGCACGAAAGCGUGGGGAUCAAGCAGG
Molecule: ribosomal RNA, 253 nt
Filed under: uncultured bacterium
Lineage: Bacteria
Description: partial 16S ribosomal RNA
Rfam family: Bacterial small subunit ribosomal RNA
Source: RNAcentral